This 1519-nucleotide ribosomal RNA is filed under the name Companilactobacillus crustorum. RNAcentral describes it as "16S ribosomal RNA". It matches the Rfam family "Bacterial small subunit ribosomal RNA". The record is from RNAcentral. Lineage: Bacteria; Bacillati; Bacillota; Bacilli; Lactobacillales; Lactobacillaceae.
GACGAACGCUGGCGGCAUGCCUAAUACAUGCAAGUCGAACGAACCAUCCUGAAGAUUGAAGCUUGCUUCAUGAUUCAGACCUUGGUGAGUGGCGGACGGGUGAGUAACACGUGGGUAACCUGCCCAAAAGUGGGGGAUAACAUCUGGAAACAGGUGCUAAUACCGCAUAACAACUACUUUCUCAUGAUCGUAGCUUGAAAGAUGGCUCUGCUAUCGCUUUUGGAUGGACCCGCGGCGUAUUAGCUAGUUGGUGAGGUAAUAGCUCACCAAGGCAAUGAUACGUAGCCGACCUGAGAGGGUAAUCGGCCACAUUGGGACUGAGACACGGCCCAAACUCCUACGGGAGGCAGCAGUAGGGAAUCUUCCACAAUGGGCGAAAGCCUGAUGGAGCAAUGCCGCGUGAGUGAAGAAGGUUUUCGGAUCGUAAAACUCUGUUGUUGAAGAAGAACAUGCGUGAGAGUAACUGUUCACGUACUGACGUAUUCAACCCAGAAAGCCACGGCUAACUACGUGCCAGCAGCCGCGGUAAUACGUAGGUGGCAAGCGUUGUCCGGAUUUAUUGGGCGUAAAGAGAAUGUAGGCGGUUUAUUAAGUUUGAAGUGAAAGCCCUCGGCUCAACCGAGGAAGUGCUUCGAAAACUGGUAAACUUGAGUGCAGAAGAGGAAAGUGGAACUCCAUGUGUAGCGGUGGAAUGCGUAGAUAUAUGGAAGAACACCAGUGGCGAAGGCGGCUUUCUGGUCUGUAACUGACGCUGAGAUUCGAAAGCAUGGGUAGCAAACAGGAUUAGAUACCCUGGUAGUCCAUGCCGUAAACGAUGAGUGCUAAGUGUUGGAGGGUUUCCGCCCUUCAGUGCUGCAGCUAACGCAUUAAGCACUCCGCCUGGGGAGUACGAUCGCAAGAUUGAAACUCAAAGGAAUUGACGGGGGCCCGCACAAGCGGUGGAGCAUGUGGUUUAAUUCGAAGCAACGCGAAGAACCUUACCAGGUCUUGACAUACCAUGAAAAGCUAAGAGAUUAGUCUUUCCCUUCGGGGACAUGGAUACAGGUGGUGCAUGGUUGUCGUCAGCUCGUGUCGUGAGAUGUUGGGUUAAGUCCCGCAACGAGCGCAACCCUUAUUAUCAGUUGCCAGCAUUCAGUUGGGCACUCUGGUGAGACUGCCGGUGACAAACCGGAGGAAGGUGGGGACGACGUCAAAUCAUCAUGCCCCUUAUGACCUGGGCUACACACGUGCUACAAUGGUCGGUACAACGUGCUGCGAACUCGCGAGGGUAAGCAAAUCACUUAAAACCGAUCUCAGUUCGGAUUGUAGGCUGCAACUCGCCUACAUGAAGCUGGAAUCGCUAGUAAUCGCGGAUCAGCAUGCCGCGGUGAAUACGUUCCCGGGCCUUGUACACACCGCCCGUCACACCAUGAGAGUUUGUAACACCCAAAGUCGGUGGGGUAACCCUUCGGGGAACUAGCCGCCUAAGGUGGGACAAAUGAUUAGGGUGAAGUCGUAACAAGGUAGCCGUAGGAGAACC